This is a non-coding RNA of Bactrocera oleae (olive fruit fly), 485 nucleotides long. The record is from RefSeq and is a predicted model, not a curated record. NCBI's taxonomy places the organism in Eukaryota, Metazoa, Arthropoda, Insecta, Diptera, Tephritidae.
AUUUUUAAUGUUUACAAAAAUGUAUAAUCUUAUGAGGUCUGGUCAAAAGGGAAAGUACGUUUGAAUGGCUGCUGAAAAUAUUGAGUUAAAAAAUUUACCUUAAAUAUUAAAGGGAACCCCUGUGUGUGAAAUUUUGAAAAAAUUAAAUUUUGAUUGCUUGCAUGCUUUGAUAGUCAAUACCUUUUAAAAUGCUAUACUAAAUCAGUGGUGCUUUUAAAUACCUAAAAAUCGGUUCUUUAGGCUGUCACAUUAGGUGUGCUCUUUACUAAGCUGACGGUGCGACACAAAACGUUUACUUUAGUGGUGCCUGCAAUUUCAAGAAGUCCAAGAAUCCAAGAAUAACCACCCUCGGUCUAGAAGUCUCCACAAUCGAAAACGUUGAGAAAAUAUGGAAACUUGUACGAACAUUCAAAAUCGGUGAAAUGACAAUAAAUACAACCCUGAGUCGUUAUAAUUGCCGACUAUAGGCCAUAUACCCAGUCUAA